Molecule: unclassified non-coding RNA, 22 nt
Filed under: Mus musculus (house mouse)
Lineage: Eukaryota; Metazoa; Chordata; Mammalia; Rodentia; Muridae
Description: oocyte_clustered_small_RNA3503
Source: RNAcentral
UGGAGCGUGGAUACGCCCACCC